Molecule: transfer RNA, 72 nt
Filed under: Fasciola gigantica
Lineage: Eukaryota; Metazoa; Platyhelminthes; Trematoda; Plagiorchiida; Fasciolidae
Description: tRNA-Thr
Rfam family: tRNA
About the family: Transfer RNA (tRNA) molecules are approximately 80 nucleotides in length. Their secondary structure includes four short double-helical elements and three loops (D, anti-codon, and T loops). Further hydrogen bonds mediate the characteristic L-shaped molecular structure. tRNAs have two regions of fundamental functional importance: the anti-codon, which is responsible for specific mRNA codon recognition, and the 3' end, to which the tRNAs corresponding amino acid is attached (by aminoacyl-tRNA synthetases). tRNAs cope with the degeneracy of the genetic code in two manners: having more than one tRNA (with a specific anti-codon) for a particular amino acid; and 'wobble' base-pairing, i.e. permitting non-standard base-pairing at the 3rd anti-codon position.
Source: RNAcentral
AGCCGCUGUUCAGUUGGUAGAACAUCUGCCCGGUGAGCGGAGUGUCGCCGGUUCGAUUCCGGCUCGUAGCUU